GGCGCUUGUUGGUCUAGUGGUAUGAUUCUCGCUUUGGGUGCGAGAGGUCCCGGGUUCAAUUCCUGGACAAGCCC
Molecule: non-coding RNA, 74 nt
Organism: Nerophis lumbriciformis (worm pipefish)
Lineage: Eukaryota; Metazoa; Chordata; Actinopteri; Syngnathiformes; Syngnathidae
Source: the annotation of a RefSeq genome assembly